RNAcentral lists this ribosomal RNA (253 nucleotides) under uncultured bacterium. RNAcentral describes it as "partial 16S ribosomal RNA". It matches the Rfam family "Bacterial small subunit ribosomal RNA", at positions 524 to 776 of the family's 1533-position model. The record is from RNAcentral.
UACGUAGGGUGCAAGCGUUGUCCGGAAUUAUUGGGCGUAAAGAGCUCGUAGGCGGUUUGUCGCGUCUGCUGUGAAAACUCGGGGCUUAACCCCGGGCCUGCAGUGGGUACGGGCAGACUAGAGUGCGGUAGGGGAGACUGGAAUUCCUGGUGUAGCGGUGAAAUGCGCAGAUAUCAGGAGGAACACCGGUGGCGAAGGCGGGUCUCUGGGCCAUUACUGACACUGAGAAGCGAAAGCAUGGGGAGCGAACAGG